UCAGUUUAUAAAUACAAGGGGGAUUUAAGCAGAAGAGGUUUAUUCUGCAGCAGGAUUAUCCCCUAAACGUGGCAUGUAAAGAAAAAAAAAAACAACACCUUCCCCAGCCUCACCCCAGGGACAGGGUCUUACAUGCAGCAAUGGGUUAGUGCAUAAAGUGGAGAGAGGAAGGGUGCCGGAAUAAUACUCAGUCAUGCUGGGAUCCCCUCUACUUGCAGAAACACGCCUGCAUGACGGCAGUAAAAAUCAAAAUAAGACAAAUAAAUAAGAAAAAAACAAAAAAAAAAAACCAUGCAAUGCAGAACUCUGCUAGAGCUGUAACGCUGAGGCAGCGGGCUGGGUUUUAUUACCGUGAGGAAAUCACACGAGCUUCAUCUCUCUCCCUCCUUGCCUGCUGUGCAGCCUCUCGCUCUCUCCCAUCCCUCCUCUCCCUCCCCUUCGGCUCCGCAGCAGGGCUGGGGUGGGUGGCGCUGCGGGUGGGGCGAGCAGCCCCCCGUUUCCCUCCCCACCUUGGGCUCCCCGGGCUGGGAUCCCCAGGGCUGCAUCAUUGGCAUGCAGCGCCCGGCAGGACUGCAUCACUGCUAGAGGAGAUGCCGGCUCCGAGCCUCCCGCUGCCGCACGCCCCGCUGCGCCGCGCAGCCAGCAGCACCGGACACGACUCGGGGUGCCCAAGGCUUACAGAGCAAGCAAAGCACAGCUGCUUUUUCACGUCCUUUGAAGUAUAUCAGAUACUGCUCAUCAGCAGCGCGGAGCUCAGGGACAAACAGACCAGCAGCACGAGCCAACGUGGCUGGUAAGUUCCUGCAAAUUAUAUCGAAUGUGUUAAGAAAAAUCAGACAGGAUGCCUGAGCUAGGAAGGAGCCAGGAAGGGCAGGGAAGCUUUGGCACCUUCCAGCAGAGAAAGUUAGCGGUGUCUCGACCACCUGCAGCAGCGCAGCUGGCGAUUUGUCAGGGUCGUGUCAGAACGACUCUGAAAGGAUCUAAUCCAUGGCCAGGGGCAGGUGCUGAGGGUGCUGUGCAGAAGCAUCAGCAGUUCUGCCUUCACUUGGCAACCAGGGUUACUCUACCAGAAGAAAUCAGCGCGGUCCGCGAGCCAAGGGAGCUCUCUGCGUGAUGUCAGGCUGCGGGGAAAGCCCCCGCUGCAGGGAGCUGCGGGCAUCGCUUCCCUCCUGCCACGCACGUGGGAUGGGGGGCAGAAAGAGAAGCCAGGUAAAAAAUUCCCUGCCUGUCCUGUGGGCUGUGUCACCACAGAGUGGCUUUCAGAGCGAGGAGGGCACCCCAGAUGAGCUGGACAGAAGCGGGCAUUGGACCGGAGGAACAGCACUGAGGCUCCCUAGGGAUUACAGGGGGCAAGCAUGAGGGAUGGCUUUGGGUUCAUGGAGCCCUGCUACGUUUUGCAGUCCACUGCUUGAGUGACACCCUUGGACUGAUGCCCUCUGUCCGACCAUGGUGGAUUUCCCUCAGACUUUAUAGCACUCAGACACAGCAGCAGUCUUUCUGAGAAAGAAAUGUUUUCUCAGCUUCCAGCAAGAGACUCAAUUGUAAGAAGGCAGGUGGUUAUUUCCCAGAGAUCCUGCUCAUUUCACAGUUGAAUUUCCAAGGAUAUCACUUUCAGAGAGGAAAUGUCUACAAUCUUCUCGACCUUAUAUCAAAUUCCAGUACCCCAAAUUCAGGCACCAUGCAGCAGUUGGUGAGCAGAGACCUCCUGCAGAGCCUGGGUUUCCUGGAUGUCCUCGAUGGGGACAGCUGGGCAGGUGGCACUUAGGAAGCAUGUAAAGCUGUCACCUGCACUUUCUA
Molecule: long non-coding RNA, 1797 nt
Organism: Anser brachyrhynchus (Pink-footed goose)
Lineage: Eukaryota; Metazoa; Chordata; Aves; Anseriformes; Anatidae
Source: Ensembl